AUAUUUAUUUGAACAGGUCAGUGAGGGCAUUAUUGGGAGGCAGAAGGAAAGGUGGGUUUAGUGGGGCUUCUGCUUUGGUUAACAAACCUUAGAUGCGAAUUCUUGUCUGAACACACAACUUCUGGGAGUUCGUUCAGCCUUGGAUAAUUACUCAGUGGGACACAUCUGGUUCUUACGGAGUCAGCACUCCCACCAGCUUCACUGGGACUACUACUGCAGGACUCAGCCCCACAUGAGCUAAACAGAGAAGAGAGAUGAAGCUGUUUUUCUGAGGCAGAGAACAAUCAUUGGCAAAAUAAAUCCACUGACGGAUGGAAAGAAAAUAUUACUGCAUCAUUAUGUCAACCUUUAGGAAACCACUCUAAGAUUUCUUGAGGAGGAGUUCUGCAGAUGAAGUGCUUGCAAGAUCAGAUCUAUUAAAAUCAACUCUCAAAAUACUGAACACACAGAGCUAAAGAAGUACUUGGUUAAGAAGCAGAAAUGAAGGACUUACUAGCUUCAUGCCUCAGUGAACAAAGACCUUUCAAGAACAUUUCACUGCUGUUCUAAAAGAACAACUAAUUCAAGGUUCUGGAGAAGGAGAAAGUCUCUCACCUGGUGGUUGGAGAAAUCACACAGAAGAGGAGAACAGAAACCAGAAGAAAAAAUUGAACCCUAAUCCCCAUGGUGAGAAAGGAUGCUACAGUCGUUGGGCUGCGAUCCGUGGGCUGUCAGGAGGAAUGGAAUACUGCAAUUUGGCAGAGCAAACCAAAGAUAUCUGCAAACCGCACAGCUCUCCUAGUGAGUUCUCCCAGUGACAGAUGAAGUUUCAUCAGUAGAAUGGCUAUCAUAGGACUGGGAGCCUGGAGCCAAGGCUGAAUUGUGAGUACCCAAAUCAUGGCUCGACCUUAACUGCUUGUAU
This 901-nucleotide long non-coding RNA is filed under the name Falco tinnunculus (common kestrel). RNAcentral's name for it is "lncRNA (ENSFTIG00000010036.1)". Lineage: Eukaryota; Metazoa; Chordata; Aves; Falconiformes; Falconidae. The record is from RNAcentral.